GGCUGCGACGCAACCGCCGCUGGGCGGUGAGUUGCCGCCAACCGCCCUAACGGCCAAAACAAUGUUAAUGGCUUUUAGAGUCUGGCGGCGCGUUCCCAUUAGCAUCUUCCUAUGACCCUUCCUCGUUUACACGGAGGAGGUGGUCUCCACAGUAACUUUUACAUUUAAUAUUUCUCUCAUAACCUUUGUCAGUUUUCCACAAUAUUUGGGAAGAUUUACAAGGUAUACUUCAUUUAGGCAAAAAUAACUUAGGGAAUAGUCAUUGUCAAGAGCAGUUUGUAUUGCAACCCACAAGGUAAGUUCUUUUUUUAACUUUUUAUAGUACAUUCUGGUAAUGUAGAAAUUAGUUGAGAUCCAAAUCUUACAAACCUUUUGAAGUUUACAUUUAUGUAAAAAAGUAAAAGAAAAUAAAAAUAACUGGCAAAAAUGAAAAAUCCAUUCUAAAAGUGUUUCUCAUAUAGCAUUCUCUACAUAAGCUCAAGUGACAAACUUUUAUUUGCAGUUUUCAACUCAGUGUAAAUGAUAUGAAAAUGCAAAACUGGCACUUACAUUUUGCUUUUCUUUUAAAAGCUAUUAACACAUUAGCAUAUCUUCAUAUUUGAUAUUAUGCAUAUAGAGCAUUUAUUUUAGCUAGCAGUAUUCCAGUAGUUUUAUUUGCAGGUGUACUUGCAGCCCAUAUUCUUAUAAAUCUGGAGUUUUAUUAAAUAUUCCAAGUUGGUGGUGGAUUCCUUGGUCCUUUGGGUUUUGAAAAACGGUUUGCAAAACC
Long non-coding RNA from Chlorocebus sabaeus (green monkey), 766 nucleotides. RefSeq lists it as uncharacterized. The record is from RefSeq and is a predicted model, not a curated record. Lineage: Eukaryota; Metazoa; Chordata; Mammalia; Primates; Cercopithecidae.